Non-coding RNA from Paramarasmius palmivorus, 93 nucleotides. NCBI's taxonomy places the organism in Eukaryota, Fungi, Basidiomycota, Agaricomycetes, Agaricales, Marasmiaceae. The record is from the annotation of a GenBank genome assembly.
UCCAAUGUGGUGUAGUGGCUAACAUUGCUGUCUUUCAUACGUUGUCGCUAUAUGUUUGCACAGCAGCCCGGGGUUCGAUUCCCAGCAUUGGAA